This 774-nucleotide ribosomal RNA is filed under the name uncultured Neocallimastigales. RNAcentral describes it as "partial large subunit ribosomal RNA". It matches the Rfam family "Eukaryotic large subunit ribosomal RNA", at positions 24 to 635 of the family's 3401-position model. Lineage: Eukaryota; Fungi; Neocallimastigomycota; Neocallimastigomycetes; Neocallimastigales. The record is from RNAcentral.
UAUGUGAUCGUCUCUCGCAUAUCAAUAAGCGGAGGAAAAGAAACUAACAAGGAUUCCCCUAGUAACGGCGAGUGAGGCGGGAAGAGCUCAAAUUUGAAAUCUUAAAGGGUUUCCCUUUACGAAUUGUAGUUUAAAGAAGUGUUUUCUGUUGAGGUUUUGGUAAAAGUUCUUUGGAAUAGGACAUCAUAGAGGGUGAGAAUCCCGUAUUUGACCUUUACUUUCAACUUUGUGAUACACUUUCAAAGAGUCGGAUUGUUUGGGAAUGCAGUCCAAAAUGGGUGGUAAAUUUCAUCUAAAGCUAAAUAUUGGCGAGAGACCGAUAGCGAACAAGUACCGUGAGGGAAAGAUGAAAAGAACUUUGAAAAGAGAGUUAAACAGUACGUGAAAUUGUCAAAAGGGAAGCGUUUGACACCAGUGUUGUUUUUCUGAAAAUCAAUUAAAGAACUGUUUAUGCUAAGCUGUUUAGACUUUAUCAGCUAUCUGUUUAGUUUUAGGCUUUUCUUUAAUGCACUUUUCAGUUAACAAGUCAACAUCAAUUUCUUUUGCUGUAAAAAAGCUUGAGGAAGGUGGCCUGAGAUUCGUCUUAAGUGUUUAUAGCCUCUUGCCUAUGCAGUCGGAGAGAUUGAGGUCUGCAGCGUAGAUCCUUCGGGGCUAAAUGCAUUUGUGCUAAGUUAUAGCAUUUUAUAGACAACUUGUUGACUAUGAUUUGUCUUGUAGCUUACUCGCUUAUGUUAUUUUACCUACGCUUAGGAUGUUGAUCUACAGAGCGAGAGU